AGUCCUUACAGUUGGAUGCUGCCAGUGAACGUUCAUUAAGAAAACAUGGCUAAAAUCACAGAAACCUCUGGAGAGUUAGAGAUUGCCGAAGACAAUGCUAUAAUGAAAGCAGAUUUCAUUCAGGAGCUUCUUCCAUCUGCGGAGCGAACGGCUCUCCUUUAUCACCUGACUUUCCUGAGUCUGGGAGGAUUCCCAAAGCUGGAGCGUCUGAUCAGAGAUCAAGCUAUUGAAACACAACUGCUGUUCGGAUCCUCUGAAGCCCUUCUGCUGAGGUGUGUCGGCACAAGUUCCAACCUGGUCACCUCCCUGUUUCCAAUGUUGAAAACGGCUGUGGUGAAGAACAAACCCGAUUUGGCGAAGAAGUACCUGAAGAAAGCUGAAGACUGGAUCACUGACAUCAUAACACAAGUGGAUGACAUUGUGAAGAGGUAUGAUAAACACAACCAAAGUGUGAAAACAUGCACCAGUGAUGUGUAUCAAGAACAAGCAGAGACCAAAGAAGAAAAAGAUAAAAAAUCUGAUGAGAUGAAGGGUCUGGAGGUUGCUGUCGCCAAGCUCCAACUGGAUCUGAAAAAAGUAGUCGACAAAGUGGAGAUGAAUGAGAAACAAAUUAAAAACAACACUGAGGAGCUGAAUAGCUUCAUCAGUAGAUUUCAGGAAGAACAUGGCCACUGGACUGUGAAGUUCCUUGACGCUUUUAGAGGCUAUCCAGACGCUAUGAAGGAGCCUACUGCCAUUGAUCUGGAUAGAAAACUGAAACAACUCGACUCUGAGAAGAGCCUUCUGAAAAAUGAAGAGUGGAACAUCAAAACCAAGCAGCUUGAUCUUCAGCUGCAGCUGGCCAACUGUAAAAUACGGAUGGGUGAGAUUCCCAACCCUGACAACCUGAAGGAAGUCCAGCUGUGUCUUUCUCAAAUCCAACAAAUUCUCAUUGAUCUGAAAAAGUUUUGGGAGAAGGUGGAUGCUAUUCUGAGCACGCUGAGAGAUAGAACCUUUGCUGGGGAAGAAAUGGUUGACAUGGAGGACAUGAAGGAUGAGUUCAUAAGCUCUAUUGAAGAUGCAGCAAAGUACUGGAAGAAAUUUGGUGUGUGCUGUCAGAAAGCUCAAGGCGUCUUCAGUGUUCAGUCUAGAGAUGCAUAUAAAUUCCUGGAGAUGAAUCCGUCUUCGCUCUCUGAGGAGGAGAGGAAAAAGCAGUACUUGUCUAUCACUGAGUAA
Molecule: long non-coding RNA, 1215 nt
Organism: Cyprinus carpio (common carp)
Lineage: Eukaryota; Metazoa; Chordata; Actinopteri; Cypriniformes; Cyprinidae
Source: Ensembl